RNAcentral lists this ribosomal RNA (253 nucleotides) under uncultured bacterium. RNAcentral describes it as "partial 16S ribosomal RNA". It matches the Rfam family "Bacterial small subunit ribosomal RNA", at positions 524 to 776 of the family's 1533-position model. The record is from RNAcentral.
UACGGAGGGUGCGAGCGUUAAUCGGAAUUACUGGGCGUAAAGGGUGCGUAGGUGGUUUAAUAAGUUAUCUGUGAAAUUCCUAGGCUUAACCUGGGCAUGUCAGCUAAGACUGUUAGACUUGAGUAUGGGAGAGGGUAGUGGAAUUUCCGGUGUAGCGGUGAAAUGCGUAGAGAUCGGAAGGAACACCGGUGGCGAAGGCGGCUACCUGGCCUAAUACUGACACUGAGGCACGAAAGCGUGGGGAGCAAACAGG